GAGUUUGAUCUUGGCUCAGGAUUAACGCUGGCGGCAUGCCUAAUACAUGCAAGUCGAACGAAACACUUCGGUGUUUAGUGGCGAACGGGUGAGUAACACGUAUUUAAUCUACCCAAAAGUGGGAAAUAACAAUUGGAAACGAUUGCUAAUACCGCAUAAUAUCUUUUGUGAUAACACAAUUGAUUGAAAGGUGCGUUUGUCACCGCUUUUGGAUGAGAAUGCGGCGUAUUAGUUAGUUGGUGGGGUAAGUGGCUCACCAAGACAAUGAUACGUAGCCGACCUGAGAGGGUGACCGGCCACAUCGGGACUGAGACACGGCCCGGACUCCUACGGGA
This 335-nucleotide ribosomal RNA is filed under the name uncultured Mollicutes bacterium. RNAcentral's name for it is "bacterial SSU rRNA". It matches the Rfam family "Bacterial small subunit ribosomal RNA", at positions 9 to 346 of the family's 1533-position model. Lineage: Bacteria; Bacillati; Mycoplasmatota; Mollicutes. The record is from RNAcentral.